This 253-nucleotide ribosomal RNA is filed under the name uncultured bacterium. Its description in RNAcentral is "partial 16S ribosomal RNA". It matches the Rfam family "Bacterial small subunit ribosomal RNA", at positions 524 to 776 of the family's 1533-position model. The record is from RNAcentral.
UACGUAGGGGGCUAGCGUUGUCCGGAAUCAUUGGGCGUAAAGAGCGUGUAGGCGGUCCGGUAAGUCCGCUGUGAAAGUCGGGGGCUCAACCCUCGAAUGCCGGUGGAUACUGUCGGGCUUGAGUACGGAAGAGGCGAGUGGAAUUCCUGGUGUAGCGGUGAAAUGCGCAGAUAUCAGGAAGAACACCAAUGGCGAAGGCAGCUCUCUGGGACGGUACUGACGCUGAGACGCGAAAGCGUGGGGAGCGAACAGG